This 465-nucleotide ribosomal RNA is filed under the name uncultured bacterium. Its description in RNAcentral is "partial 16S ribosomal RNA". It matches the Rfam family "Bacterial small subunit ribosomal RNA", at positions 338 to 795 of the family's 1533-position model. The record is from RNAcentral.
CCUACGGGAGGCAGCAGUGGGGAAUAUUGCGCAAUGGGCGAAAGCCUGACGCAGCGACGCCGCGUGAGGGAUGAAGGUCUUCGGAUCGUAAACCUCUGUCAGGAGGGAAGAAGUGGUUAUAUGCGAAUAGUGUAUGACUUUGACGGUACCUCCAAAGGAAGCAUCGGCUAACUCCGUGCCAGCAGCCGCGGUAAUACGGAGGAUGCGAGCGUUAUCCGGAUUUAUUGGGUUUAAAGGGUGCGUAGGCGGGUUAUCAAGUCAGCGGUAAAAUCGUGGAGCUCAACUCCAUCCAGCCGUUGAAACUGAUGAUCUUGAGUGGGCGAGAAGUAUGCGGAAUGCGUGGUGUAGCGGUGAAAUGCAUAGAUAUCACGCAGAACUCCGAUUGCGAAGGCAGCAUACCGGCGCCCGACUGACGCUGAAGCACGAAAGCGUGGGUAUCGAACAGGAUUAGAUACCCUGGUAGUC